UUGAGAGUAGUAAAGAGGUUCAGUCUCCAGAGGAGAAGAAGAAGACCCAGAGAAACCAGGAAGGUGGCAAACAUAAUACUUAAGGUAAGAAGGAGGAUUGUGCUGUCUUCCAGAUUUCCUAGGAACAGCAGUUGAUGUGGAAGAAGGUAAAGCAGGAGGUGAGAUGUCAGGGUUGAAAGGGGGACUGGAAAUUCGAUAUGAAGAAGGAGAAUCUGAAACAGAAGGUGAAGGUGGAGAGGAAGAGAUGGGAAUAGAGAAAUCUGGCUCAGAAAGGGAAU
Molecule: long non-coding RNA, 278 nt
Filed under: Nicotiana benthamiana
Lineage: Eukaryota; Viridiplantae; Streptophyta; Magnoliopsida; Solanales; Solanaceae
Description: long non-coding RNA (NBEN_LNC019048)
Source: RNAcentral